GGCGGUUCUCGGAUGAUGCACCCCAGAAUUGGGCUCCCUCCUCUCUGGUUCCAGGUACGUCACCUGAGAACCGCA
This is a non-coding RNA of Myotis lucifugus (little brown bat), 75 nucleotides long. The record is from Rfam. Lineage: Eukaryota; Metazoa; Chordata; Mammalia; Chiroptera; Vespertilionidae.